Molecule: non-coding RNA, 3133 nt
Organism: Ictidomys tridecemlineatus (thirteen-lined ground squirrel)
Lineage: Eukaryota; Metazoa; Chordata; Mammalia; Rodentia; Sciuridae
Source: RefSeq, a predicted model, not a curated record
UCGGAAAUAUGAAAGUAAAAACUAGCUCAUUGAUAAUCAACUUCUUUUUAAUUAUUCACUUAAUUUAAAAAGUGUAACUACAAACCUGCCCUCAUGAAGCUGUUGAUAUGCUGACAGGGUUUUCAAAGCUGUCCCAGCCGCGGUGGACUGGGAGGCAACUCCUCCCCUGCUUCUCCGGUCAUCCCUGCAGAGUGCCACCUGUGAGGGGUGAUUUAGAAUAUUCUUCAAAGCUGGUAUGUCUGCCCCCCUGGCAGCAGGACAUUGCCUCAUCCCCAGCCUCAGUUUCCCUGCGUAUGGGCACUACUUGUCCUCAGCUUCAUGAAGCUGCCUGUCACCUUGUGGACAAAUGUGGAGGCUGAGAGGACAGGUUUCGGCCACUGGCCAUCACAGUAUGUGAGCAGUAACCCUCUUGCAUCAGGCCUUUCUCCAGGAUCUGUGUACUGGGUAACCCAAGCUAAGUCAGGAAAGCUCAGGUUCAACUGUCUCCUGUUGUCACCCUGCAGGCUUCAGCCAUCUCUGAAUCUCAACCUCUCAAAGAUCACAGCCGCUUCAUUGGACAGUAGGAGGACAUUUCUGCUAGGAGAGACAGGGGCGGGUUAUUGCCCUUCGCCCACCAACUCCAGCCACUGGCCUUGACCUUUCCCCUCCUCUCUGAGGUGUGGGGGCUAUGGAUAGUGGAAGGGAUGCUGCUUCAGUAGGGAAUCACCAGCAGAAUCCCUGGCACCAUUGGCCACCUAGAUACUGCAGACACAGGAGGGAAGGACCACCUCCCCCUGCUUCCCCUCUUCUUUCCUCCCUCCCAGUUCCAUGGCUCCAUUUAGAGCAAGGUGAGAUAGCUGGGCACAGCAUUGCACACCUGUAAUCCCAGCGAUUCAGGAGGCUGAGGCAGGAGGAUCCCAAAUUUGAGGCUAGCCUCAGCAACUUAGUGAGACCCUGUCUCAAAACAAAAAGGGCUGGAGAUAUGGUUGAGAGGUAAAGUGCUCCUGAGUUCAAUCCCCAAUGUCCCUUCUGGCCCAAAGGAGCCAGGUGAAGUCAUCUAAGGGGUUUUUAGGAACCCUUGGUGCCCAGGUCAGGAGGGAAUGGGAGUGGGUAGUUGAUGGCACUAAGUUUGUCUCUGAACCUCCGGCAAUAACCCUAGGCUGGAUGAGAACCAGAGUCUAACCUCCUCAUUUGACUCUGGGUCACCUUCACAGGUCACAGCUAUGGGGCAGCCCAGGGAACUCUGGGAGAGCAAUCAUCAAGAGCUGUUCUGUUUACUGUGGGCAGAGGCCAAGGAGGCUCAUCUGGUUGGCUCAGGAUCUUUUUCUCUAAGUCAGUGUCAUUGUCACUUGCAUUCCCUUGUCUCAAUUGUCUGUGAGUCUAAAGGUGAAUUCCAGAUCUUGAAGCUGUUGUCUGUAAGAAUACCUUAGUGGGAUUCCAUUUGGUCUUCCGGGGGCUUCAGUGGACUGGCCAGGGUGAGCUCUCCUGGUCACUUUGCAUGGAGAGAGCAUUAUGUUGGCCAGAAGUGCAGUCAGUUUGGGGGCCACACCUGGUUGCAGGGGGCUGGGGAGGACCCUUGGUUGGCAAGACUAGGUUGAACAGCCUUGAACAGGACUCUUUAUUUUCAUGAUGCCUCUCUCUUCUUCCAGGAACAAUCUUAGGUCCCCCCAGGUCACCUGGGUGUCCCUAUCCUCCAUGCUCCACCCCACCAAAGCCCUUCAGCUGGGCAUGGGAAGCUACAGAACACUCCAGGUGUGACCUCCUGGAUGGUUUCUCAGGGCUGCCUCGCUCUGAAAGCUGAGGAAGCCGGGCUGAGCGGGGCACCUUCUCCUCACUAUGGGAACAUGGGGCCUGAGUUCCUUGUUCAAGUUCACCUCUUGGAUCUGAGUCAAGAUCCUCCUGAGUGGAGACUGGAAAGAUUACACAUGCUGUGGGCUGAGCUGUGUCCCCCCCGCAAAACUCCAGUGCUGAAGCCCUGAACCCCAGCACCUCAGAAUAUGGAGAGAGGGACCUUGAGAGAGGGGAUUAAAGGGAAGUGCGGUCACUGGGGUGGCCCUACCUAGUCCAGUCUGACUAGGGUUCUUUGAAGAGGACUCCAGGACCCAGAUACACCCAGAAAGAUGACCCGGUGAGGACACAGAGAGAAGAUGCCAUUUGCAAGCCACACGAGGGCGGACUCAGGAGGAACCAGCCCUGCUCCUCCUUCAUCUGGGACUGUAGCCUCUCCAGGGCUGUGAGAGAGUCCACGUCUGCACUGAAGCCACCUGGUCAGUGGUGUGGGCUAACUGUCGACACCAGACCUGAAGGAGAUGCCCACCCAUCUAUGGGGGUCUCACUGGGCCCUGGGGGGGGUCCCUGGGGAGGGGAUUUUUGCCACAAGGUAGCCAACUGUGAGAAAACACCAAGGUCAGGGGUGACCUGUAGCCUUUUCUCCAGGUCAAGCAGCCCGGGACAGAGAAGGAGACCUUCUUGUUCCCAUCCGCCCGUCCGUCCACUCUUCUGGUUGGGAGAUGGAGGUCUCUGGCCUCCUCAUGUCUCCGUGGCUUAGAGCUGGGCUGUGGGGAAGGCAGCAGGUCUCUGCGUUCCCCGGGGUGCUUUGGUGACGUGGAGCCUUGCCACUGGGAGGAGGGGCUUGGUGUGGCCUGGACCUGGUUUCUACGGAGGGGAGUUGGCACGUGGGGUGGCGGGAUGUUCUCAGCUUUUAGCUGCAGAUUUAUGUAAAUAUGGAUUAUGGAGUUUGGCCCCAGUUCUCCCUUCCCCUUUCCCCUCCCCUGCCCCGGAACAUAGUGGGCAUUAGCGCCCGUUGGUUGGUGGAUUUCCACAGCCUGUCAAUGAGCAGCACUUAAUUCUCAGGCAAAUGUCGACUUAUCUCGCUGUGUGGUGGGCUUAGGCAUUUGCCUCGCUCAGCCUGCAAAGCCGUGGAAGGGAGGGAGGGACGUGGCCACAGAGAAGGGGUGGCUUCCCUCACCAGGGCCUGCUGCGUCUCCUGGCUUUGUCCUGGCAGUCCCAUGCAGGACUGGGAGCACAGAGAGAAGGCUCCUCAAGGGCAGUGGGCCUCUGUCUUGCUGUGUGUCUCUGAGUAGGUUCCUUCCUUUUAUUUUAUUCUAUUUUUUUUUUUUUUUUGGUACCAGGGAUUGAACUCAGGGGCACUUGA